AACGAACGCUGGCGGCAUGCCUAACACAUGCAAGUCGAACGAGACCUUCGGGUCUAGGGGCGCACGGGUGCGUAACGCGUGGGAACCUGCCCUUAGGUUCGGAAUAACUCCCCGAAAGGGGUGCUAAUACCGGAUAAUGUCUUCGGACCAAAGAUGUAUCGCCUUUGGAUGGGCCCGCGUUGGAUUAGCUAGUUGGUAGGGUAAAAGCCUACCAAGGCGACGAUCCAUAGCUGGUCGGAGAGGAUGAUCAGCCACACUGGGACUGAGACACGGCCCAGACUCGUACGGGAGGCAGCAGUGGGGAAUAUUGGAGAAGGGGCGAAAGCCUGAUCCAGCAGUGCCGCGUGAGUGAUGAAGGCCUUAGGGUUGUAAAGCUCUUUUACUCGGGAUGAUAAUGACAGUACCGGGAGAAUAAGCUCCGGCUAACUCCGUG
Molecule: ribosomal RNA, 433 nt
Filed under: uncultured bacterium
Lineage: Bacteria
Description: partial 16S ribosomal RNA
Rfam family: Bacterial small subunit ribosomal RNA
Source: RNAcentral